Molecule: ribosomal RNA, 459 nt
Filed under: uncultured bacterium
Lineage: Bacteria
Description: partial 16S ribosomal RNA
Rfam family: Bacterial small subunit ribosomal RNA
Source: RNAcentral
CCUACGGGGCGCAGCAGUGAGGCAUAUUGGUCAAUGGGCGGGAGCCUGAACCAGCCAAGUCGCGUGAAGGAAGAAGGUACUUAGUAUUGUAAACUUCUUUUGUCGGGGAACAAAGGCGGAGACGCGUCUCCGGAUGAGUGUACCCGAAGAAAAAGCAUCGGCUAAAUCCGUGCCAGCAGCCGCGGUAAUACGGAGGAUGCGGGCGUUAUCCGGAUUUAUUGGGGUUAACGGGUGCGAAGGGGGAAGAUCAAGUCAGCGGUAAAAUGUCGGGGUUCAACCCCGGCCGGCCGUUGAAACUGGUUGGCGAGAGUGGGAGAGAAGUAGGCGGAAUUCGUGGUGUAGCGGUGAAAUGCAUAGAUAUCACGAAGAACGCCGAUUGCGAAGGCAGCAUACCGGCUCCAUACUGACGCUGAGGCACGAAAGCGUGGGGAUCGAACAGGAUUAGAUACCCGGGUAGUC